RNAcentral lists this ribosomal RNA (802 nucleotides) under uncultured Bacillota bacterium. Its description in RNAcentral is "bacterial SSU rRNA". It matches the Rfam family "Bacterial small subunit ribosomal RNA", at positions 58 to 856 of the family's 1533-position model. The record is from RNAcentral. Lineage: Bacteria; Bacillati; Bacillota.
CAAGUCGAGCGAGGCCAGGGGGCAACUCCUGAGUCGAGCGGCGAACGGGUGAGUAACGCGUGGAUAACCUGCCCUGAGGUGGGGAACAACCAGGGGAAACUCUGGCUAAUACCGCAUGAUACCGAGAGGUCAAAGGGGGCUCGCAAGGGCUCUCGCCACAGGAGGGGUCCGCGUCCGAUUAGCUAGUUGGUGGGGUAAUGGCCUACCAAGGCGACGAUCGGUAGCCGGCCUGAGAGGGUGAUCGGCCACACUGGAACUGAGACACGGUCCAGACUCCUACGGGAGGCAGCAGUGGGGAAUUUUGCGCAAUGGGCUAACGCCUGACGCAGCAACGCCGCGUGGAGGAUGAAGGUCUUUGGAUUGUAAACUCCUGUCAGCGGGGAAAAAGCGACUCGACCUCAUACGUCGGGGAGUUGAUUGUACCCGCAGAGGAAGCCCCGGCUAACUCUGUGCCAGCAGCCGCGGUAAUACAGAGGGGGCAAGCGUUAUUCGGAAUUAUUGGGCGUAAAGGGCGCGUAGGCGGCUCGGCAAGUGGAAGGUGAAAUCCCUCGGCUUAACCGAGGAACUGCCCUCCAAGCUGCUUUGCUUGAGGCCGGGAGAGGUGAGUGGAAUUCCCAGUGUANCGGUGAAAUGCGUAGAUAUUGGGAGGAACACCAGUGGCGAAGGCGGCUCACUGGACCGGUUCUGACGCUGAUGCGCGAAAGCGUGGGGAGCAAACGGGAUUAGAUACCCCGGUAGUCCACGCCGUAAACGAUGAGUGCUUGGUGUAGCGGGUAUCGACCCCUGCUGUGCCGAAGCUAAC